Molecule: unclassified non-coding RNA, 343 nt
Filed under: soil metagenome
Description: partial contains 5.8S ribosomal RNA, internal transcribed spacer 2, and large subunit ribosomal RNA
Rfam family: 5.8S ribosomal RNA (bases 1-120)
Source: RNAcentral
GAUGAAGAACGUAGCGAAAUGCGAUAAGUAAUGUGAAUUGCAGAAUUCAGUGAAUCAUCGAAUCUUUGAACGCACAUUGCGCCCGCUAGUAUUCUGGCGGGCAUGCCUGUCCGAGCGUCAUUUCAACCCUCAAGCCCCCGGGCUUGGUGUUGGGGAUCGGCGAGCCUCCGCGCCCGCCGUCCCCUAAAUCUAGUGGCGGUCUCGCUGUAGCUUCCUCUGCGUAGUAGCACACCUCGCACUGGGAAACAGCGCGGCCACGCCGUUAAACCCCCAACUUCUGAACGUUUGACCUCGGAUCAGGUAGGAAUACCCGCUGAACUUAAGCAUAUAAAUAAGCGGAGGA